This 346-nucleotide ribosomal RNA is filed under the name uncultured eukaryote. Its description in RNAcentral is "SSU rRNA". It matches the Rfam family "Eukaryotic small subunit ribosomal RNA", at positions 594 to 945 of the family's 1831-position model. The record is from RNAcentral.
AUAGCGUAUAUUAAAGUUGUUGCAGUUAAAAAGCUCGUAGUUGAACCUUGGGCCUGGCUGGCCGGUCCGCCUCACCGCGUGCACUGGUCCGGCCGGGCCUUUCCUUCUGGCUAGCCACAUGCCCUUAAUUGGGUGUGUUGGGGAACCAGGACUUUUACUUUGAAAAAAUUAGAGUGUUCAAAGCAGGCCUAUGCUCGAAUACAUUAGCAUGGAAUAAUAGAAUAGGACGUGUGGUUCUAUUUUGUUGGUUUCUAGGACCGCUGUAAUGAUUAAUAGGGAUAGUCGGGGGCAUCAGUAUUCAAUUGUCAGAGGUGAAAUUCUUGGAUUUAUGGAAGACUAACUACUG